Molecule: long non-coding RNA, 366 nt
Filed under: Malus domestica (apple)
Lineage: Eukaryota; Viridiplantae; Streptophyta; Magnoliopsida; Rosales; Rosaceae
Description: long non-coding RNA (MDOM_LNC012423)
Source: RNAcentral
GUGAGUCCUUAAGUAUUUAAGAAAUACUAAAGGAUAAAUUCCUCAAAGAUUGAGGAAGAAUUAGAGUAACGUAAUGGAAGCGUAAAUGUAUUAGAUUAUGAAUCUAAUCCAUCAUUGGAUGUAUCUUCAUUAUGAAUGAAGAGAUAAACAAAUAUCUCUUUAUUAUGAAUAAAGAGAUAUUUGGAUGGAAACAUUAAAGUAAUGACUUUAGUGUGUUCCAUUAUGAAUGCAAAAUAUAUUGCCAUAUAGAAGUUAGUGCGAUAGCUCAAGCCAGGGAAUCAAGGUCUCAUCAAGGUCCGAACUCAUAUGAGAGACUGAACCACAUGAUUAAGAAUCAUGUAUAAUGGUGACGUCGUUAUUCUCAAG